Molecule: long non-coding RNA, 651 nt
Organism: Lucilia sericata (common green bottle fly)
Lineage: Eukaryota; Metazoa; Arthropoda; Insecta; Diptera; Calliphoridae
Exons: 2
Source: RefSeq, a predicted model, not a curated record
GUCUAAUAUUUGUAGUGGAUUGUGCAGAUCGGGAUCGUAUUGACGAGGCUCGGACAGAACUACAUCGAAUUAUAAAUGAUAGAGAAAUGAGAGAUGCCAUUAUAUUAAUAUUUGCUAAUAAACAAGAUUUAGCGGAAUGCAAUGAAACCUCAUGAGAUUCAAGAAAAAUUAGGCUUAACUAGAAUACGAGAUCGCAACUGGUAUGUGCAACCUUCCUGUGCAACAACUGGUGAUGGCUUAUAUGAAGGCCUUACGUGGCUUACCUCCAAUCAUAAGUUAUGAGAAUAAUUUAAUUGAAACUCAAAAAUAAACAAAACAAAAUAUAUAUUAACCCCCGAUAAAAAAAUCACACAACAAUAUUUAUUGUAUGCAAAUUUUAUUUGAAUUUAAACAAAAGGAGAAAUUCUUGAAAGAAAAAUACAUCUUAACAGAAAAUACAAAAAAGAAAAUCAAAUCUUAAUUAUUAUUUAACAAAAUUCAAGUAAAACAAUUUAGUGAAAACAAAAUAAAAUUAAUAAAUUUAUAAUAAUCCAACACGAAAGAAACAAAGGAAUUCUAAAAAUACCACAAACAUGUUUUUUUAGCAUUUAAGAUAUAUUUGUAAAAUAUUAUUAAAAAAAAAAAAAAACAAAACAAAACGAAAUCACUUAC